RNAcentral lists this long non-coding RNA (1441 nucleotides) under Rattus norvegicus (Norway rat). RNAcentral describes it as "long non-coding RNA NONRATT007741". The record is from RNAcentral. Lineage: Eukaryota; Metazoa; Chordata; Mammalia; Rodentia; Muridae.
CGUCUCCGUGACGGGACAGUCUCUAGGCCCGCCUCUCCACCUGGUGAUGGUCAUUGUCUCCCUGAACAGGGAUGGAGGAAAUAACAUCCCAAGAAGCAGCAGAAUCACCAAGGGUCCAGUUUCAGUCUUUGGAGAGCCAGUCUGAAUGUCUUUCCCCAGAGCUUCGGUUUCUGCGGGACACAGAGAUGGAGCAGGGAUACACUGAUGGCAUACUUCUCCGCCUUCCCACCACCCGGAUUCAUUGUGUGAAUUCCUGCCCAGCCCUGAGUCAUACCCAGGCAAGUGCUUUCUCUGGAGAAACACUUGCAGUCCUUACAGCAGGAAUCACCAAGAGAUGGCCCAGGUAUCGACUUUCCAUCGGGAGUGCUUGUCCCAGCACGGAAACUCCUUUUCCAAGAUUGUAAGAUAUCAAACUUGGUUGAUGGAAUAUAUGUUCCUUGGGAUGCCACCAUUAUGUAAAGUUGCCGCUCCCUAAGUGACAUUUGGUGAAUUUCUAAAGUGGAAGCCUUCCUUACAGUCACGUGCAUUUGGAACUCAGUUCAUUCAUAAACACACUUGGUGGUCACUACUUGUGUGAAAUGCCACAAAGCUAGCACUUCUGUUGCCAUCUUUUCCUGUUGUUUUAGGGUAGGGAACAGAUGCUGUGUGCUCUUUCUACAGUGAGUGUAGCCUGUCCACUGUGAUGCCUCACUUGUGUGACCCCACACUUCCCUCACGUUUGGUGUCAUUUUCCUCUUUAAAUUCUGUCAUCUUGUACCUGAUUCUUUGUGGUACCUCACCAAUUGCUGUAUUUAUAUUACCUUCCUAAUUAAGUGUUCUUAAUGCUGUCUUUGAUAGCGGGGAGUACGGGGCACAAAAACUAAAUAGUUCAGGGCAUCAAAAUGGAUGUAUUUUUAAAAGCUUUGUAAAUUGUAAAGUGUGUAAACUACUGUUAAUUUUACCUAAUACAGAAUGUCCAACAAUUCACUUGUGUACUUUUUGUAGUAAAGAAAUUUUGUAGUAGUCUAAUUCAAGCUUAUAAUAUACUACCAAGUGGAACUUUACCUCAUUUUAUCUUGUCAUCUUUUCACACACAAAGGACACGCAUACAUGCAAACCUGCAUACAGUGUAAGAAACCCUGCUAACACUACCCAGCUUGCUUUUGUGACCAAGCCAGCAUAUCCUUAGCAACUAUUUUAACAUCCUUGGGAAUUCAUUUUAUCUUUGUGGGUCUACCAUACGCCAUUUCAAAUGUAAGGGUAUAUAAACAUUUACUAAUUGUACUUAGUAUUUGGGGUUAUAACAUAAGACCUGUAUAAUUCAGUCCAUGGCUUAGUCUCUUUCCAGUUCAUGUGUAUUUCCCAUGGCUCUAUUUGUAUUUAUCACAGGCUCCAAAAGUGGAGUCCCUUUAUCAAGUGUUUGCACUAGACAACACUGAAUAAACAAACAGCUGAGUUUACC